GAGGACAAGCGGCACCUCUCGGAUCUUUUUUUUUUUCCUCUCCCCCCCCCCUCCUUUCCUUUUACCUUCAUUUUCCUCCUGCAGGCGAGCGUGCGUAUAUGUGUGUGUGUUUGGAUGAAUGGGUGAUGGAGAAAGCGAGAGAGAGAGAGAAAAGAGAGAGACUUAGAGAGGGGGGCGUUUCCCCUUCAGUGUGAUUUCCACAUAUUGGCAAAAUCCACUAUGUCGUCGACUUGAGCGAGCGGGGGAGAAGUGAACAGACUUGCAACAAUGGAGACCUGGUCAGUUUCCGCAGCUUCUGAAAUCCCCACCCUUCCCUCCAGCUCUCUCCUGCUAUAUGGCGUCAGACUCACAAGUGGGGGGAUGGGAGCGAGCGAGCGCUGUAGAGGGGAGAGAGGUGGUUUGACCGUUUGCUCCCGUCUCGACCACGGGUAUUCUUGGGUUGAUAAUACAGAUGUCGAUGUUAUUGCUUGAGAAUACGCGUAGCUGAGCGGAAGCCGUUGUCAUCGGCCUCACGUUAUUCCUUCAGCGGCGUGAUCAUCGACGUUCUCCUCCCAUGGUCUUGAUGCGAGAAGCUUCUUCACUCUCGUUCUCCUAAAGUCCUACUCGUGGUCCCCGGGCUCGCAACACUCCUCCGCCCAGCAUCCUCCCGGCCCUCUGCAGGAAGUAAGAACCUUCCAAGCGUGCAUCACACACCUUUUCAGCUUGGCUUGUUCAUCCGCUUGACAGAUGCCCUUAUCAGAGUGCAUGGCGAAGAGGGGAAUCCAAUAAGUGCACAUGGUGGAGGGAGGGAGGGGGGGGGGGGCAUUGAGGAAUCGGUGCAGGGCAACCGAGGCAGGGAGUCUGGGCCCCUGAUGGCAGCGAGACACAACUAUGCUCGACAGGACAGCAGGUCCGGCAGUUGCACUUGCUGCUGUGUAUAAGGUCACAGUCAAAGAGCAAAUGCAAUAUCUAGACAGGCUGGCUGGCUGGCGGGCAGACGGGCGGGCGGGCAAACAGGCUGGCGGGCAGGUGGGGGCACGAGCAAAACACAUUUAGAAAGUCAGAAAUAAAUCUUAGUCUACUUUAAGAUGCGCUGCGAGGAGGAGACUAAUAGGACAAACUGACAAAUGAGCCUGUUGGGAUCAAAUCAUAUUUUCUUGUCAAAUCUCUUUUUUCCAGAUGCACACAUGAAACUGUUGCCUAUUUGUCAUGAUUCAGCGGCUUGACACGGCUGCUCCACUUCAUUGACUUGUAAGGCAUUGGAUCAUAUUAGUGUUAUUGUAAUGGGGUGUAAUAAGAUUAUUCAAAUCCCUCUAUUUCACAGUGGGGCCAAUGUGAUAGUGGGGCACAUCCAUGUAAAAGGCCCUUUGACAGCAGCUGUGUCUGUGUGCUAAAGCCUGAAAAAUCCCAGCCAAGAGGAUUCUCCACGCCACUCCCCAGAGACUCCACUUACACCAGCGCCACUGUGCGCGCGUGUGUGUGUGUGUGUGUUAGCGAGAUGUGCGUGCGCGUGUAGGCAAUAUUUCUACCUCCCCAUCCGCACAGCAAUUAAAGAUCUAAUUGAUUUCCCUGCAUACACUGAUCACUUGCCUCACCGGUUUGAUUUUUUUUUUUACUCGCAAAUUGGAUGCUGAAGUCAUUCGUGAUGAUCACAGAGCUCCAAGACAAUUACAUGAGCGCCUCUUAUUCUUUUGUCUGUUUAUAUAAAUUCCCCACAUCACAAUAAUAAUAAUACAAUACAAUAAUACAUACAUUAUAAAGUAGCCUUUGUCUUGAUUUUGCAGACAGAUUUAAAGAAAAUAGAAAUAAAGCUGAAAGAAAUCAAUGUAUCAUGUUUAAAACUGCUCAUUGUUUGUGAUAGAAAUAUUUGACUUAUUUAUGUAAAUAAAAUAAGCAAAAUGUUAACCUUCAGUGUAAAUUAAUACAAGAAAAUUAAUUCAUAAUUAUUGUCUUUACAAAAAUGUUUUAUAUGCAUUUAAAAAGAACAUUUAGGCAACUGCGGCAAUUCAUUAUUUUGUGUGACCAAUGUUAAAACUCAACUUGGGCUAUUAGCAUAAAUAUAAUCAUUUGUGUUAAUUCAGCAUCUAUUAUGAGGUAUUACAUUUAAGAAGAACAUCAUCCUCGGCCAUUUAAUGACUAAUUGGGUUGGGAGUCAUUAAUUUUGCAGUUAGACAAAAUGUCAGGUUCAAAUAAAAUAAUUAUUAGACUGGCUAAUGGGAGAACGUCUACUAAUGUCUGUUGAAACAUUCAUAAAGUGACUCCUUAUCGGUGAACCAAUCAUCCUCUCCGACCUCUUGAAAUAAUACACAACAACAACACUUAACGAUUCACUCAUUCAAUCAAUGCUAAUUCAUUUAUACAUCUUAUGCACGUUUCCGCUGAUCAGUCCCCCCCCCCCACCCAAUUUUAUAUUGUUCAUUUCUGCAGUACUGCACCAUAUAAUCAUGCUGGCUGCCUACAUAGCCAACUCUUCAUUCACCUAUAAUUCAUCACUGUUUGCUUGGCAUAGGGUGGACAAAUGAGCAUAAUUAAUCUUAUUCCUCACGCUUGCAGAGCAAACAAGAAUGCAACCAAAAAAACAUGGCAACAAAUUGAAUAUGCCUCCGAUGAGAGCAAGAUACCCAAAGCAACCUCGGUCAGAGUAGCCGCUCUAAUGGGCCUAGCGCAAAAAAAGCAAACUGAGACAAUAGAGUUGGAAUAAAUAAGUACGUCGAGGUGUAAGGCGUGAUUUCCACUUUGAUGGGUCACUCCAUUACAAUUACUCUGAAAUAUUUAUCCAAGCAAAUAAAGGGCUGUAGGGAUUUGACAAAGGGAGAAAAGAUACCGCAGGUAUAGGUUGACAGAGAUGGGUGAGGGAGAGGGGAGGGGGGGGGGGAGAAAAUCACAGUGCAAUAAGUGCCCUCUCAUUAGGGCCUGUCUUUAUCACUGUGCAGCUCCUCUGAGACUAGGCAGAUGAGAGGGGCCAACAGAAGGCCAGAAGAAGAGAGCCGACUUCAGAUUAGAAUCCUUAUUGCUAUGAUAAUGACUGUUUGUCAUCCUCUACUCACGUUUCACACCUGUGGUACAUGCAGAUGAGUUGCUUCGUUCACGUUGGGGGUUUGGAGCUGUGUGUGUGCGUGUGGUCGAGCCAUAUGCAUAUGCGCGUGUUUCUAAAUGAAGAAAAAGAUAAAGUUCAUGGUCGUGUGCAUAAAGAAAAGCUUGAGCGGGUGUGUGUGUGUGUGUGUGUCUGGCAUUCACCCUUGGAGUGCGUACGCAUUUAGAAUGAACAAAUAGAUAAAGAUAGAAUUAAAUAAAUAUGUAACAAUCACAUGCAUUGCUCUCGGUGCCUGGCAACCGGAGCCCUCCGUUGCCUUGGAAACAGUUGCUACAGAAUGUGAGGUGAUUGGCAACCGUGACAACGAGGAGGGAAUAACAUUUGACCCCUCUUGCUGAUGGGGGGGGUAGAGCAGGCGAGUUGGUGAGGGGGGGAGGAGGUGAUGCGUGAAGUGCGGGGUGGAGGAGUGGGGGGGAGGAGAAAGAAGAUGGUAUCACAAGGAGCAUGUUUAGAAAUUCAUCCUCUAAAGCUGCUUCGCUCUCACUUCCUUAACACACACACGACCCCCCCCCACCUUACACACACACUCAAAUAUCUCGGAUAAUCUUAUUUAGGAGGAUAAAGGUGCGUUUGUAAAUUCUAAC
Long non-coding RNA from Syngnathus acus (greater pipefish), 3657 nucleotides. RefSeq lists it as uncharacterized. NCBI's taxonomy places the organism in Eukaryota, Metazoa, Chordata, Actinopteri, Syngnathiformes, Syngnathidae. The transcript has 2 exons. The record is from RefSeq and is a predicted model, not a curated record.